This 548-nucleotide ribosomal RNA is filed under the name uncultured bacterium. Its description in RNAcentral is "bacterial SSU rRNA". It matches the Rfam family "Bacterial small subunit ribosomal RNA", at positions 51 to 645 of the family's 1533-position model. The record is from RNAcentral.
ACACAUGCAAGUCGAACGGAACUUCGGGUUUAGCGGCGGACGGGUGAGUAACGCGUGAGAAUCUGCCUCUAGGUCGGGGACAACAACUGGAAACGGUUGCUAAUACCCGAUGUGCAGCAAUGUGAAAGAUUUAUUGCCUAGAGAUGAGCUCGCGUCUGAUUAGCUAGUAGGUGUGGUAAUGGCGCACCUAGGCGACGAUCAGUAACUGGUCUGAGAGGAUGACCAGUCACACUGGGACUGAGACACGGCCCAGACUCCUACGGGAGGCAGCAGUGGGGAAUUUUCCGCAAUGGGCGAAAGCCUGACGGAGCAAUACCGCGUGAGGGACGAAGGCUUUUGGGUCGUAAACCUCUUUUCCCUGAGAAGAAGAUCUGACGGUAUCAGGGGAAUCAGCAUCGGCUAACUUCGUGCCAGCAGCCGCGGUAAUACGAGGGAUGCAAGCGUUAUCCGGAAUUAUUGGGCGUAAAGCGUCCGCAGGUGGCUCUGUAAGUCUGUCGUUAAAGAAUGGGGCUCAAUCCCAUACAGGCGAUGGAUACUACAAGGCUAGA